This 476-nucleotide ribosomal RNA is filed under the name uncultured bacterium. RNAcentral's name for it is "bacterial SSU rRNA". It matches the Rfam family "Bacterial small subunit ribosomal RNA", at positions 28 to 507 of the family's 1533-position model. The record is from RNAcentral.
GACGAACGCUGGCGGCGUGCCUAACACAUGCAAGUCGAGCGGGGUUGAAGCGAGAGGUAACUCGAGCUUCUACCUAGCGGCGGACGGGUGAGUAACGCGUGGGCGAACCUGCCUCAAGGUUUGGGAUAACAGCCCGAAAGGGCUGCUAAUACCGGAUAUGCCUAUGGCCUCGCAUGGGGCUAUGAGCAAAGGGGAAACCCGCCUUGAGAUGGGCCCGCGUCCCAUCAGCUAGUUGGUGAGGUAACAGCUCACCAAGGCGACGACGGGUAGCCGGCCUGAGAGGGUGACCGGCCACACUGGGACUGAGACACGGCCCAGACUCCUACGGGGGGCAGCAGUGGGGGAUCUUGCACAAUGGGCGAAAGCCUGAUGCAGCGACGCCGCGUGAGCGAAGAAGGCCUUCGGGUUGUAAAGCUCUGUCUGGAGGGACGAACAAAAUGACGGUACCUCCGGAGGAAGCCACGGCUAACUACGUG